This is a long non-coding RNA of Belonocnema kinseyi, 1002 nucleotides long. RefSeq lists it as uncharacterized. The record is from RefSeq and is a predicted model, not a curated record. NCBI's taxonomy places the organism in Eukaryota, Metazoa, Arthropoda, Insecta, Hymenoptera, Cynipidae. The transcript is spliced from 3 exons.
GCAUAUGUCCAAUUCUCGAACAAACGCGAUUUGUUGAUUGAAUUUUCAGUUAUAUAACUAUAAGUAAUUAUAGUGAACCGUGAAUUUAGUUGUAUUGUAAGAAAAAAUUGCGCGUUAUCCGUCUAAACACCAGUGCUACAGGAAUACUUCCAAACCAAGCACAUAUUUUUAUGGUAUCUUUGAGAAAUAUUCUGAAAAAUAUUAGCGAAGUGGUCAAUAAAUAAGCAAGGUAAAUGUUCGAGAAUUUUGGAAAUCACCAAGUGAUCUACAGAACUGAUAGUAAGGGAAUAUCUAACACUCUAUUAUAGUUGAAUUAACUAGAAUUCUGGUUGGUUCAACCAGCAUUUUUUUGGGAAUGAAGUAUUGAAUAGAUAGAGCAUGAUCGUUUCUAGCCCAAAAGAAAGAGCUGUCAUUGGAACACAUCGGAUAGUGAAAACUGUGUUUUUUGUACACAAUUAAUCUAAUAUUUAUGAAAAAAAAAGGCUUUUCAAGUCGGUGAAUAAUGACUGCAACAAGUUAAUAUCAGGAUCACUUCUGGAUUGAACUGCAUGUAUCAAACAUCCAUAACACCAAGUCUUCUCAUAGAACCCAUUUAGGAAGAUUACCGUUUUCGUAGUCCCAACAACGUAGAAUUCCCCCUAAAGUGGUGUGAUUACGAUCUGGAAGUCGUACAAAAAUGACGAGGUUUCCAGGAAUCACUAGAUGCCAAUUGCUCACGACGCACGGAAACAUAAACGUGCUCCAUUGAAUCGGUUCGUUGAAGUUGAAAUAUCCAGGUAGGAAUUUCACUGCUAUCGACGGAAACUAGAAUUCCAGCAAAAACUUGGUGUCCAGCACCUUUAGUUUGAAUAUAAACUCGGCUUCCUCCAGAAAUACUAAAAUCAUGGGCUGGUGAACUUCCUUCAGUUGGUUUCAUCACUGCAUCUAGUUUUUUAAAGUAAAAAUAGAGAUUAAUGAAUUGUUUAUACUCUCAGAAAAUAUCGAAUAUUAAGUGAGAGAAUU